This is a long non-coding RNA of Myotis brandtii (Brandt's bat), 2644 nucleotides long. RefSeq lists it as uncharacterized. Lineage: Eukaryota; Metazoa; Chordata; Mammalia; Chiroptera; Vespertilionidae. The transcript is spliced from 3 exons. The record is from RefSeq and is a predicted model, not a curated record.
UCAGAAUUUGAGGAUGGCUGCUACUGACACUAGCAACCCACCAGCAGAAAAAUUAUGGGAAGAGGGGAAAAAAAGAUACAAGCUCGUGUCUCCACCUUAAAAUGGAUGAUCUCGGAGGAGAUGCGGACUGGAUAAAAUGAGAAAAAGUGACAUGUCCGUUCCUUCCCCUGUCAAGAACAUAGAAGCAGCACACACAUUGAUUAUUUCAAAGGCGAUGUUCAAAUACUUGCUGAAGAUAUUUCACAGUCAGCUGCCGUUCCAAGAAUGAGGAACAUUUUGGAAUUGGUUAUCCUUCUGUUAUCUUCAAAAGUCACAGACUUUUGGUUUUAAUUCAUCUUGGCCCCUAACUGGUUCAUGAAAAGAGAAGGCCGUGAACCCAGCUGCAGUGUCUGCUUCCAGAGCCCACGAGUUUCGUCCUGUGUGUGUGGAGCUGCCGAGGUGGGUGGGCCGCUGCCCUGGGGGACAUCCGCAGUGCUGAUCGCCUUGGCUUCGGAGGACCGUGCGAAUGCGUGCAGGCCCGUGUCAGCCUCCGGGUUUUGUUUCCAAAUGUGCUAUCGAUGAGCAACAGCCCAAAGGAGCAAAAUCAUCGAGACAGCCAUGUGGGUGGACAGGAAGGAUGGGAAUUACACCGCGUUUCCAAGUUCCCUGGGGGUGAAAAUCCGCUCUCCUCAUCGCAAAACACUGCAGUCCUUGGAAGCACAACACUGUGGGGCCGGCUUUCGAAGCAAACGGCUUUUGUUUGGAAGCACACAGUCAGGUCUGGCCUGGGAGAGUUCCUGGCAAAAGCAGCUUUCUCGGUGAAGUCAGUCCCAUGAAAGAACAUGCCUUUAUCACAGAGAGCGCCUUCUCCUAAUUCCCACCUUAGAAGCAGAGGCCAAGUUCCCCUCGGCUGAGCUCGUGGCUCUUACCCAGGGCUCAGUGCCUCCGCGUCAGCCACCGGUAAUGAGAGAUCAAUCCCACGUGUGCUGUCCCUGGUUGUGCCUCAGUGGUGCUACCUCCUGUCACAUGACCCACUCCUUUGCCUUCAAAUGGCAUCUUAGAGACGGCAAAGGCGCCGAGGCCAUUACUCUGGACCGUCUCCUAGACCUGGAGAGACUCCUUGACUUCAGGCUGAAACCAUGCCUGUCCGGUCAUGUGGUCUGACUUGACUUAAAAAGGCAUCAAAUACAAAUAGAAUUCUGGGAAGUAAAUCAACUUUAGGCCUUUUACUGCGGAAGGCUUAAAAUAAUUCCCAAAAUGGCUAAUUAUGUCUUCCUUUGCUCAGUAGUUGGGCUUAAUAAUAAGCACCAAACAUAUGGCGGAAACGGGGCUGCCCAACCCAUCCUGGCCUUCUGUUCAGCAGCAGGGGCACUGGUCUUAAAGGCAAUCACACGCAGGAAGCUCACACAUAGUCAUGGUUGUGGUUGUAGUGUCUGUUAUGGCUGGGCACCGUAAACACUAACCUGGCUCCUAAAACUGUCUUCCAACUCACUAGUAAUCAAAGGCACACAGUGUAAAAUAACACUAACAAUCUUUUUCUUUUUCUUUUUUUUACCUAUCAGACUAAAGGAGAUUUUUUAAAUGAUAUAAUACUGGGAAGAAUUUGAUGAAAUAAGCACUUUCAUACCUUAUGGUGAGAGUAUAAAUUGGGAUCAUCUUUCUGGAGAGCGAUUUGGCAGAAGUACAAGGGCCAUAACAAUAUUCAUACAUUUUGAUCCCAACAUUUCAUUCCCAGCCAUCUAUCUUAAGGAAACAGUAUAAACCGCAGACAAAGAUUUAAGUAUAAGAAUGUUCACUGUCACACUACCGUGGACUCUUGACCAACAUGUUGCUUAGGGGUGCCGACCUGUGCAGUCAAAAAUGCAUUUGUAAUUUUUGACUCCUCAAAACCUUAGUUGUCCCUCAGCAUUUUCAAGAGAUUAAUUCUAGGACCCCCUGUGGAUACCAAGACUCAUGGGUGCUCUAGCCCCCUAUAUAAAUGGCACAGCCCAAUGCAUACAAUUGGCCCUCCCCGUUCGUGGAUUCCCAAUCAUAGACUGAAGACAGUCCUGAUAGUUAUUGAAAAAAAUACACCUAUCAGUGGACCCACACAGUUCAAACCCUUACUGCUCGAGGACCAACUGGCUUUAUAAUUAGCAACAUGUACAGUGAAAGAAGAAUGAUUAAGAAAAUUAUGUACAUCUACCACAGUCUAUGGGACAUUCGUGCAGUCGUUAAAAAUCAUGCUGACAUAUGCUUUCAUAGGCAGAGGGGAGUGAAGAAAAUAUGAUACAGAGCAAUGAUCUUGACUAUGUAAAAUAAUAUAUUCAACAUAUUUUGGGGGAUAAAAAUAAUGCUAUUUUUAAUACUUCAGCAGAUUCUCAAUUCCAGUAGAGAAGCUGAAAUUGGUAUUUGUCAGGGGUUACGGGGCAGGGAGAUGUUCUGCGCUAAGGUCACUGUCGUUGGGGAAGCUCUGAACCAGCAGAACAAGCCAAAUCCAACUGCGAAAGAAAAAUUCUGUUUAAUAUCACCAAAGUCUGCCUUCAUCAUGGGCUGUGGGGACCUCCACGGAGCUCCUCCAUGUGUUCAAACAGCACGUUUUACAGAGCCCCCACUAUGUGUCAAAGCACUGUGCUAAGUGCAGGGAGACAGUUAGUAAGCAACAGACACAUACUGGCAGCUCCCA